AGCGAACCCGAGUGGGUGUUGCGUGGGGGGGCAGCGAUGCGUGACGCCCAGGCAGACGUGCCCUCGGCCAGAAGGCUCCGGGCGCAACUUGCGUUCAAAGACUCGGUGGUUCGCGGGAUCCUGCAAUUCACACCAAGUAUCGCAUUUCGCUACGUUCUUCAUCGAUGCGAGAGCCGAGAUAUCCGUUGCCGAGAGUCGUUGUGAAUAAUACGACAAGAAUGCUCCGCUCCCCGCACGCCGAGUCGGGGCGGGGGGCGGGAUAAUUCGUUUGAGUUCCUUGGCGCGACCUGCGCCGGGGUUUGGUUUAG
This 308-nucleotide unclassified non-coding RNA is filed under the name Trichosanthes morrisii. RNAcentral's name for it is "sequence contains ITS1, 5.8S rRNA gene, ITS2". Lineage: Eukaryota; Viridiplantae; Streptophyta; Magnoliopsida; Cucurbitales; Cucurbitaceae. The record is from RNAcentral.